Molecule: ribosomal RNA, 264 nt
Filed under: uncultured bacterium
Lineage: Bacteria
Description: partial 16S ribosomal RNA
Rfam family: Bacterial small subunit ribosomal RNA
Source: RNAcentral
UACGUAGGGUGCGAGCGUUAAUCGGAAUUACUGGGCGUAAAGCGUGCGCAGGCGGUUUUGUAAGCCAGAUGUGAAAGCCCCGGGCUUAACCUGGGAAUGGCAUUUGGGACUGCAAGGCUUGAGUGCGGCAGAGGAGACUGGAAUUCCUGGUGUAGCAGUGAAAUGCGUAGAUAUCAGGAGGAAUACCGAUGGCGAAGGCAGGUCUCUGGGCUGACACUGACGCUCAUGCACGGAAAGCGUGGGGAGCAAACAGGAUUAGAGUAC